GGUGGGGUGUAGCUCACAGAGCGCCUGCCUUGCACGCAGGAGGUCAUCAGUUGAUCCCGUUCACCACCA
Molecule: transfer RNA, 69 nt
Filed under: Ignavibacteria bacterium
Lineage: Bacteria; Pseudomonadati; Ignavibacteriota; Ignavibacteria
Description: tRNA-Ala
Rfam family: tRNA
About the family: Transfer RNA (tRNA) molecules are approximately 80 nucleotides in length.
Source: RNAcentral